RNAcentral lists this ribosomal RNA (243 nucleotides) under Triticum aestivum (bread wheat). RNAcentral describes it as "partial small subunit ribosomal RNA". Lineage: Eukaryota; Viridiplantae; Streptophyta; Magnoliopsida; Poales; Poaceae. The record is from RNAcentral.
AUGAGUGCCCUAUGCUUGAACUGUCGCGAUGUGGGCAACCCCGCGACAGUCCAAGAACUUCGCGAAUUCGCGAGAAAAUUUGCCCCUACCCUUUUGUGCAUUGUUGAAACAUAAAUAGAAGGUUCUAGGAGAGCUUUAGCAAGUGCGUUUGGUUAUGAUAGAGCUUAUGCAGUUGAUAGUCAAGGUAGAAGUGGUGGAAUGGGAAUUUUUUGGAAUAAUGAAAUUGAAGGAAAUAUGCCCUAG